GUUGUAUGGUUAAGUGACUAAGCGUACACGGUGGAUGCCUUGGCAGUCAGAGGCGAUGAAAGACGUAGUAACUUGCGAUAAGCCCAGAUUAGGUAGUAACAACCAUUUGAGUCUGGGAUUUCUGAAUGGGGAAACCCACGUGCAUAAGCACGUAUCCUUACCUGAAUACAUAGGGUAAGGAGGCGAACCGGGGGAACUGAAACAUCUAAGUACCCCGAGGAAAAGAAAUCAACCGAGAUUCCGAAAGUAGCGGCGAGCGAAAUUGGACUAGCCCUUAAGCUUUACACGCGUUAGACGAACGGUCUGGAAAGUCCGACGAUACAGGGUGAUAGUCCCGUAGUUGACGACGUGUGUUCAGUGAAAUCGAGUAGGGCGGGACACGUGAUAUCCUGUCUGAAUAUGGGGGGACCAUCCUCCAAGGCUAAAUACUACUGACUGACCGAUAGUGAACCAGUACCGUGAGGGAAAGGCGAAAAGAACCCCUGUGAGGGGAGUGAAAUAGAACCUGAAACCGUGUACGUACAAGCAGUAGGAGCAGGCUUUGUCCUGUGACUGCGUACCUUUUGUAUAAUGGGUCAGCGACUUAUAUUCAGUGGCAAGGUUAACCAUCUAGGGGAGCCGUAGGGAAACCGAGUCUUAACUGGGCGUUCAGUCUCUGGAUAUAGACCCGAAACCAGGUGAUCUAGCCAUGGGCAGGUUGAAGGUUGAGUAACAUCAACUGGAGGACCGAACCGACUAAUGUUGAAAAAUUAGCGGAUGACUUGUGGCUAGGGGUGAAAGGCCAAUCAAACCUGGAGAUAGCUGGUUCUCCCCGAAAGCUAUUUAGGUAGCGCCUCGGACGAAUACUACUGGGGGUAGAGCACUGUUAAGGCUAGGGGGUCAUCCCGACUUACCAACCCUUUGCAAACUCCGAAUACCAGUAAGUACUAUCCGGGAGACACACGGCGGGUGCUAACGUCCGUCGUGGAGAGGGAAACAACCCAGACCGCCAGCUAAGGUCCCAAAUUACUACUAAGUGGGAAACGAUGUGGGAAGGCUCAGACAGCCAGGAUGUUGGCUUAGAAGCAGCCAUCAUUUAAAGAAAGCGUAAUAGCUCACUGGUCGAGUCGGCCUGCGCGGAAGAUGUAACGGGGCUAAGUAGUAAACCGAAGCUGCGGCAAUAUACUUUUGUAUAUUGGGUAGGGGAGCGUUCUGUAAGCGGUUGAAGGUGUGUGGUAACGCAUGCUGGACGUAUCAGAAGUGCGAAUGCUGACAUGAGUAACGAUAAAGGGGGUGAAAAACCUCCUCGCCGGAAGACCAAGGGUUCCUGUCCAACGUUAAUCGGGGCAGGGUAAGUCGACCCCUAAGGCGAGGCCGAAAGGCGUAGUCGAUGGGAAACGGGUUAAUAUUCCCGUACUUCUUACAAUUGCGAUGGGGGGACGGAGAAGGCUAGGUGGGCCUGGCGACGGUUGUCCAGGUUCAAGUGCGUAGGCUUAAGAGUUAGGUAAAUCCGGCUCUUUUUAAGGCUGAGACACGACGUCGAGCUACUACGGUAGUGAAGUCAUUGAUGCCAUGCUUCCAGGAAAAGCCUCUAAGCUUCAGAUUGUAAGGAAUCGUACCCCAAACCGACACAGGUGGUCGGGUAGAGAAUACCAAGGCGCUUGAGAGAACUCGGGUGAAGGAACUAGGCAAAAUGGUACCGUAACUUCGGGAGAAGGUACGCUCUUGAUGGUGAAGUCCCUUGCGGAUGGAGCUGACGAGAGUCGCAGAUACCAGGUGGCUGCAACUGUUUAUUAAAAACACAGCACUGUGCAAAAUCGUAAGAUGACGUAUACGGUGUGACGCCUGCCCGGUGCCGGAAGGUUAAUUGAUGGGGUUAGACUUCGGUCGAAGCUCUUGAUCGAAGCCCCGGUAAACGGCGGCCGUAACUAUAACGGUCCUAAGGUAGCGAAAUUCCUUGUCGGGUAAGUUCCGACCUGCACGAAUGGCGUAAUGAUGGCCACGCUGUCUCCACCCGAGACUCAGUGAAAUUGAAAUCGCUGUGAAGAUGCAGUGUACCCGCGGCUAGACGGAAAGACCCCGUGAACCUUUACUACAGCUUGGCACUGAACAUUGACCCUACAUGUGUAGGAUAGGUGGGAGGCUUUGAAGCACGUACGCCAGUAUGUGUGGAGCCGUCCUUGAAAUACCACCCUUGUAGUGUUGAUGUUCUAACGUCGACCCCUUAUCGGGGUUGCGGACAGUGCCUGGUGGGUAGUUUGACUGGGGCGGUCUCCUCCCAAAGAGUAACGGAGGAGCACGAAGGUGGGCUAAUCACGGUUGGACAUCGUGAGGUUAGUGCAAUGGCAUAAGCCCGCUUGACUGCGAGAAUGACAAUUCGAGCAGGUGCGAAAGCAGGUCAUAGUGAUCCGGUGGUUCUGAAUGGAAGGGCCAUCGCUCAACGGAUAAAAGGUACUCCGGGGAUAACAGGCUGAUACCGCCCAAGAGUUCAUAUCGACGGCGGUGUUUGGCACCUCGAUGUCGGCUCAUCACAUCCUGGGGCUGAAGUCGGUCCCAAGGGUAUGGCUGUUCGCCAUUUAAAGUGGUACGCGAGCUGGGUUUAGAACGUCGUGAGACAGUUCGGUCCCUAUCUGCCGUGGGCGUUGGAAGAUUGAAGGGGGCUGCUCCUAGUACGAGAGGACCGGAGUGGACGAACCUCUGGUGUUCGGGUUGUGUCGCCAGACGCAUUGCCCGGUAGCUAAGUUCGGAAUCGAUAACCGCUGAAAGCAUCUAAGCGGGAAGCGAGCCCUGAGAUGAGUCUUCCCUGAUACUUUAAGUAUCCUAAAGGGUUGUCGGAGACUACGACGUUGAUAGGUCAGGUGUGUAAGUGCUGUGAGGCAUUGAGCUAACUGAUACUAAUUGCCCGUGAGGCUUAACCAUACAACACCCAAGGGGUUU
RNAcentral lists this ribosomal RNA (2916 nucleotides) under Vibrio parahaemolyticus. RNAcentral describes it as "bacterial LSU rRNA". It matches the Rfam family "Bacterial large subunit ribosomal RNA". Lineage: Bacteria; Pseudomonadati; Pseudomonadota; Gammaproteobacteria; Vibrionales; Vibrionaceae. The record is from RNAcentral.